RNAcentral lists this ribosomal RNA (443 nucleotides) under uncultured bacterium. RNAcentral describes it as "partial 16S ribosomal RNA". It matches the Rfam family "Bacterial small subunit ribosomal RNA", at positions 338 to 795 of the family's 1533-position model. The record is from RNAcentral.
CCUACGGGUGGCAGCAGUGGGGAAUAUUGGGCAAUGGAGGAAACUCUGACCCAGCAACGCCGCGUGAAGGAUGAAGGUCUUCGGAUGGUAAAGUUCUUUUCUAAGGGAAGAGGAAGGGGACGGUACCUAAGAAAUAAGCUUCGGCUAACUACGUGCAAGAAGCCGCGGUAAUACGUAGGAGGCGAGCGUUAUCCGGAAUUACUGGGCGUAAAGGGUGCGUAGGUGGUUUGGCAAGUUAGUAGCGUAACUCCAAGGCUCAACCUUGGAACUACUACUAAAACUGUUGGACUUGAGUGCAGGAGGGGCAACCGGAAUUCCUAGUGUAGCGGUGGAAUGCGUAGAUAUUAGGAGGAACACCAGUGGCGAAGGCGGGUUGCUAGACUGUAACUGACACUGAGGCACGAAAGCGUGGGGAGCAAACAGGAUUAGAUACCCUUGUAGUC